CCUACGGGUGGCAGCAGUGGGGGAUAUUGCACAAUGGGGGGAACCCUGAUGCAGCGACGCCGCGUGUGUGAAGGAGUGCUUCGGCAUGUAAAGCACUAUCGGCAGGGAAGAAGCAAGACGGUACCUGACUAAGAAGCCCCGGCUAACUACGUGCAAGCAGCCGCGGUAAUACGUAGGGGGCGAGCGUUAUCCGGAUGCACUGUGGGUAAAGGGAGCGUAGACGGCCAAGCAAGCCAGGGGUGAAAGCCCGGGGCCCAACCCCGGGACUGCCCUUGGAACUGAAUGGCGGGAGUGCGGGAGGGGCAGGCGGAAUGCCUGGUGUAGCGGUGAAAUGCGUAGAUAUCAGGAGGAACACCGGCGGCGAAGGCGGCCUGCUGGACCGCGACUGACGUUGAGGCGCGAAAGCGUGGGGAGCGAACAGGAUUAGAUACCCGUGUAGUC
Molecule: ribosomal RNA, 441 nt
Filed under: uncultured bacterium
Lineage: Bacteria
Description: partial 16S ribosomal RNA
Rfam family: Bacterial small subunit ribosomal RNA
Source: RNAcentral